GUGAGAGUGUGAUGUUGGUACGGCUCAAUCAAAUCAACUGCGAUUUGUGUAGCUAUAUAUAUAGCUUGAUCCGAUUGAGCCGUGCCAAUAUCGCUCUUUGCUUA
Non-coding RNA from Musa acuminata subsp. malaccensis (wild Malaysian banana), 104 nucleotides. The record is from Rfam. Lineage: Eukaryota; Viridiplantae; Streptophyta; Magnoliopsida; Zingiberales; Musaceae.